This 503-nucleotide ribosomal RNA is filed under the name uncultured bacterium. RNAcentral's name for it is "bacterial SSU rRNA". It matches the Rfam family "Bacterial small subunit ribosomal RNA", at positions 28 to 524 of the family's 1533-position model. The record is from RNAcentral.
GACGAACGCUGGCGGCGUGCUUAACACAUGCAAGUCGAACGGCAGCACGGGAGCAAUCCUGGUGGCGAGUGGCGAACGGGUGAGUAAUAUAUCGGAACGUGCCCAGUAGUGGGGGAUAGCCCGGCGAAAGCCGGAUUAAUACCGCAUACGACCUGAGGGUGAAAGCGGGGGAUCGCAAGACCUCGCGCUAUUGGAGCGGCCGAUAUCAGAUUAGCUAGUUGGUGGGGUAAAGGCCUACCAAGGCUACGAUCUGUAGUUGGUCUGAGAGGACGACCAGCCACACUGGGACUGAGACACGGCCCAGACUCCUACGGGAGGCAGCAGUGGGGAAUUUUGGACAAUGGGCGCAAGCCUGAUCCAGCAAUGCCGCGUGCAGGAAGAAGGCCUCGGUUGUAAACUGCUUUGUCUAGGAAGAAAGUACUUCUGGGCUAAUAACCCCGGGACGGAUGACGGUACCUGAAGAAUAAGACACCGGCUAACUACGUGCCAGCAGCCGCGGUAAA